GACGAACGCUGGCGGCGAGCUUAACACAUGCAAGUCGAGCGGUAAGGCCCUUUCGGGGGUACACGAGCGGCGAACGGGUGAGUAACACGUGGGUGACCUGCCCUCAGCUCUGGGAUAAGCCUGGGAAACCGGGUCUAAUACCGGAUAUGACUCCAUGACGCAUGUUGUGGGGUGGAAAGCCUUGUGCGGCUGAGGAUGGGCCCGCGGCCUAUCAGCUUGUUGGUGGGUGAUGGCCUACCAAGGCGA
This 246-nucleotide ribosomal RNA is filed under the name uncultured Actinomycetes bacterium. Its description in RNAcentral is "uncultured actinobacterium partial 16S ribosomal RNA". It matches the Rfam family "Bacterial small subunit ribosomal RNA", at positions 28 to 276 of the family's 1533-position model. The record is from RNAcentral. Lineage: Bacteria; Bacillati; Actinomycetota; Actinomycetes.